AAUAUGCCCUUCUCUACGGAAUAGUCCUGGGAAACUGGGGGUAAUACCGUAUACGCCCUUUGGGGGAAAGAUUUAUCGGGGAAGGAUUAGCCCGCGUUGGAUUAGGUAGUUGGUGGGGUAAUGGCCUACCAAGCCGACGAUCCAUAGCUGGUUUGAGAGGAUGAUCAGCCACACUGGGACUGAGACACGGCCCAGACUCCUCCUGGAGGCAGCAGUGAGGAAUUUUCCGUA
This 231-nucleotide ribosomal RNA is filed under the name uncultured Isochrysis. Its description in RNAcentral is "partial Bacterial small subunit ribosomal RNA". It matches the Rfam family "Bacterial small subunit ribosomal RNA", at positions 123 to 370 of the family's 1533-position model. Lineage: Eukaryota; Haptophyta; Isochrysidales. The record is from RNAcentral.